ACCCACAAUUAAAACCGAUGAUAUCAGUUUCCUCUCCUCCAUUGCUAAAGAACUGCUUUUUUUUUUUUUACCUAUCUCGUAAUUAUGACAGUGCAAAAUUAGCAUAGAAACAACAUUCUAAGUUGAAUCUACAAUAGAGUACAAGCACUAAAAAGAAAUUGGUUUUAACAAACGCUCUCUACGAUCAAGUCUGGGUUUUCUCCUUCAACAAUUGUGACCAAAGGGAUGUGGAGGAGUGUAGAAUAAGGGCCUAAAAGGUCACUCUAGAAACUUCCAAUGGUUCAUUUAUCUUGAGCUCUUCAAUGAAAUGCGUCAGAGUUGCCGGGAACAAGUAGCUGCUAAAGAUUUCAGCCCCAAAAAUCUGUGUUGAUAAAUUACUGCUGCUCAUGUUGCCAAAAUAAAAGAACGAACUUAGGAGAUGAAAGGACAAAAUAAUCAAUGACUCUGAAGGCAAAGAACAGGAGAGAAAAACAUGUUCCAUUUGUUGAAAUGAUGACAAGCAAGUUACAGAGUUAAUAGGGUCAGAAGAAGAGAAUUGUAAAGCGAUAAGAAGAUAUAUAUACUUGUAGUGAAGAAGUUGUUUGAAAUUAUGAUCCAUAGACACAAAGAUAGAGAUUGGCUUGAUCAUGUUUCAACAUCAGAAAGCCUGUGCUUUUUCCAUCCAAUCCGAGGAGUGAUCCAAUGCGACAGAUUAUGUUAUGAUCAAAUUUGUAAGAUCAUAUGUUGUGUUUGGUACUUUAAUACUAUAUGUUCCAUGCAAAUUUAAUGUU
Molecule: non-coding RNA, 770 nt
Organism: Nicotiana tabacum (common tobacco)
Lineage: Eukaryota; Viridiplantae; Streptophyta; Magnoliopsida; Solanales; Solanaceae
Source: RefSeq, a predicted model, not a curated record